This 435-nucleotide ribosomal RNA is filed under the name uncultured Blautia sp. RNAcentral's name for it is "bacterial SSU rRNA". It matches the Rfam family "Bacterial small subunit ribosomal RNA", at positions 341 to 792 of the family's 1533-position model. Lineage: Bacteria; Bacillati; Bacillota; Clostridia; Lachnospirales; Lachnospiraceae. The record is from RNAcentral.
ACGGGAGGCAGCAGUGGGGAAUAUUGCACAAUGGGGGAAACCCUGAUGCAGCGACGCCGCGUGAAGGAAGAAGUAUCUCGGUAUGUAAACUUCUAUCAGCAGGGAAGAAUUAGGACGGUACCUGACUAAGAAGCCCCGGCUAACUACGUGCCAGCAGCCGCGGUAAUACGUAGGGGGCAAGCGUUAUCCGGAUUUACUGGGUGUAAAGGGAGCGUAGACGGAUGGACAAGUCUGAUGUGAAAGGCUGGGGCUCAACCCCGGGACUGCAUUGGAAACUGCCCGUCUUGAGUGCCGGAGAGGUAAGCGGAAUUCCUAGUGUAGCGGUGAAAUGCGUAGAUAUUAGGAGGAACACCAGUGGCGAAGGCGGCUUACUGGACGGUAACUGACGUUGAGGCUCGAAAGCGUGGGGAGCAAACAGGAUUAGAUACCCUGGUA